CUUUAUUUUUUCUCCUUUGUAUCCUGGCCGCCGUUCUAUCCAUUUUUUGUUAUAAUUUUUCCACCCAUUUAUGACUUUGUUUCUUCGGUUCUUUAAUAUUCAUUUUGUGUUCGGUGUUGGGAGUGUUUAUCACUUCUCGUCAGGAGAGAACCGUGAGUUGGGUGGUGUUCCUCCUGCGAUUUAAGUGUUGCGUGGUUGUUGUUCGUUGAAGGUAAUCUUUAGACUUAAGCGGGUCGGUGCGACGGGAGCUCGGUUAUUAAAGUUUUGUGUUCAUUUUAGAUAUUUUUUAAUUUGAGAUUUAAGAGGUUUGUAAAUUUUGGACUGAUUUGGGUUUGGACUAUAAUUUUCGUUUCCGUAUAAUAUUAUUUAAACGUUUUAUCGAUAA
Molecule: long non-coding RNA, 385 nt
Organism: Gossypium raimondii (Peruvian cotton)
Lineage: Eukaryota; Viridiplantae; Streptophyta; Magnoliopsida; Malvales; Malvaceae
Exons: 3
Source: RefSeq, a predicted model, not a curated record